CCACCUUCAAAGCUAAAACUAAGCACUACAAACAGAGUUGCCGAGUUUCGGAAAUCCUUUUCCCUGUGCCAGAGCCAGGCGAUGAGGCCACAAGGCACAAAAUUUUUUACAAGGGGAAAGCAGCGGUUUUGAUAAAAUUACCUAUAUCUUCUAAAAGCUCCGCACUUGCUAAAACGCAGAGGAGACAAAGCUGUGAUAUCAGAAAAUGCAAUAUCUACUAGAACAUAAAGCAAAGUCAGAAAAAAUAAAGAGCUAUGACAUUACAUAAAAAGAAUGAACUGCUUAAAUAACAAUGCAUGCCUUGGAACAAAAUGUAGUCAACAGUGCAUCACAUGCUCAACAGAGGGACAAGACAAAACUGAAAACAAAUGAAAUCGCAUCUUUCAUGCCACAGCCAUUCAAUGUCACUACACUUCAAUACUGUGUGCCUUUUCCUGAACCCACAUUGGGCCAGAAAUUCAAUACAAGUGAAAGAACAGCAGUUGAAGAACAGGGCAGCAACAACUGAAUUAACUAAGCACAAGACAGUAUGACACUGGCGCAAUGAAGAUUGCCAGUCAAAUAAGGUCGUUAAAACCUAAAAGCUUUUUCAAGAAACUACCACACCACUGGCCUUAACUCCGAUUUAGCCUGAAUUCCAAGAGUUCAGUGCUGACAAUGUCAGUUUCAAAGAGAGAGAACUGUGGCUCCCUUUCCAUCUUCCAACAGUCUGGUUUAAGGUAAAAUAAAUGUAUAGGUUCACACCAUUAUAGCCACUAUAACUGCUGCAUCAGUUACCAGACAUUUCAUUUCUGUCAUUUGGAACAACAUUAAAAAGAGCAGCCCAUGGCCUACUUUCGGACUUCGUAUAAAACAAAGGAAAGCUUCGCUAUUUAAAAGAACACUGGCAUCAUCGACAUAAAAAACUCAUCAUACACUGAUCUGAAGCAUUCAAUGUAACACUAUUUUGUGCUUGGGUUAAAUUUCUGUCUGGGCGCAUAUAAAUGAAAAAACAAUACUUUAGUAUUCCUUCAUCCAUAAAGAAUGGCAAAUAAAUUUAAGAGCACUGGUCCUAGAAACCUUUCCAUUUAGAGCUCUCACUGCAAUGCAUGUGCAUUAUUGAUGAGUUUUUGCCCAUUCCUGUACAUUUAUCUCACCUAAACUACAAAAG
Long non-coding RNA from Dermacentor silvarum, 1150 nucleotides. RefSeq lists it as uncharacterized. The record is from RefSeq and is a predicted model, not a curated record. The transcript has 2 exons. NCBI's taxonomy places the organism in Eukaryota, Metazoa, Arthropoda, Arachnida, Ixodida, Ixodidae.